RNAcentral lists this unclassified non-coding RNA (258 nucleotides) under uncultured fungus. Its description in RNAcentral is "sequence contains 18S rRNA gene, ITS1, 5.8S rRNA gene, ITS2". Lineage: Eukaryota; Fungi. The record is from RNAcentral.
GCUUACUCUAUAGAUCAUUCUGAUAUUGUUAUUGGUGUUUGAUAAAAACAUAGGCAAAUCAGGAAUUACACAGAUUGCUCUGUAACUCUGUUUGUCUACUUGGGUGUGCACAGUGGGGUAAGAGAAGGAGAUUUUGCAGAGUGCACAUGCAAACCGGUGAAGGAGUGCCAGCACAUCUUUAAAAAUCAAUAAUGAUCCUUCCGCAGGUUCACCUACGGAAACCUUGUUACGACUUUUACUUCCUCUAAAUGACCAAGA